This 373-nucleotide ribosomal RNA is filed under the name uncultured organism. RNAcentral describes it as "bacterial SSU rRNA". It matches the Rfam family "Bacterial small subunit ribosomal RNA", at positions 526 to 896 of the family's 1533-position model. The record is from RNAcentral.
CAUGGGGUGCAAACGUUGCUCGGAAUUAUUGGGCGUAAAGCGCGCGUAGGCGGUUACUCAAGUCGGAUGUGAAAGCCCUCGGCUUAACUGAGGAAGUGCACCCGAAACUGAGUAGCUAGAGUACUAAAGAGGGUCGCGGAAUUCCCGGUGUAGAGGUGAAAUUCGUAGAUAUCGGGAGGAACACCGGUGGCGAAGGCGGCGACCUGGGUAGAUACUGACGCUGAGGCGCGAAAGCGUGGGGGAGCAAACAGGAUUAGAUACCCUGGUAGUCCACGCCGUAAACGAUGGGUGCUAGAUGUUUCUGGUAUUGACCCCGGAGGCGUCGUAGCUAACGCGUUAAGCACCCCGCCUGGGGAGUACGGCCGCAAGGCUA